Molecule: ribosomal RNA, 491 nt
Filed under: uncultured bacterium
Lineage: Bacteria
Description: partial 16S ribosomal RNA
Rfam family: Bacterial small subunit ribosomal RNA
Source: RNAcentral
AGUGAACGCUGGCGGUAGGCCUAACACAUGCAAGUCGAACGGCAGCACAGUAAGAGCUUGCUCUUACGGUUGGCGAGUGGCGGACGGGUGAGGAAUACAUCGGAAUCUACUAUUUCGUGGGUGAUAACGUAGGGAAACUUACGCUAAUACCGCAUACGAUCUACGGGUGAGAGCAGGGGUUCUUCGGACCUUUCGCGAUUGAAUUAGCCGAUUUCGGAUUAGCUUGUUGGAGGGGUAAAGUCCCACCAAGGCGACGAUCCGUAGCUUGUCUGAGAGGAUGAUCAGCAACACUGGAACUGAGACACGGUCCAGACCCUUACGGGAGGAGGAGGAGGGAAAUAUUGGACAAUGGGGGAAGGCCUGCUGAAGAAAGACGGGGGAGGUAAAAAAGGCUUUCGGGUGGUAAAGCCCUUUUGUAGGGAAAGACAAGCAGCAGGUUAAUACUGCGCUGUUCUAAGGGAACCAAAAGAAUAAGCACCGCUAAAUUCGGU